Molecule: ribosomal RNA, 259 nt
Filed under: uncultured bacterium
Lineage: Bacteria
Description: partial 16S ribosomal RNA
Rfam family: Bacterial small subunit ribosomal RNA
Source: RNAcentral
CGCGCACGGGUGAGUAACGCGUAUCCAACCUGCCCUUUACUAUGGGACAGCCCGUCGAAAGGCGGAUUAAUACCGUAUGUUGUCAUGUUGAUGCAUAUUUUCAUGACCAAAGGCUUCGGCCGGUAAAGGAUGGGGAUGCGUCUGAUUAGCUUGCCGGCGGGGUAACGGCCCACCGGGGCGACGAUCAGUAGGGGUUCUGAGAGGAAGGUCCCCCACAUUGGAACUGAGACACGGUCCAAACUCCUACGGGAGGCAGCAG